CCGAAGGUAGUUUAACCUAAAACCAAGCCUUUUCGUGGCUUCGAUGGGACCAUCGUGGUCGCCCCUCGGC
RNAcentral lists this transfer RNA (70 nucleotides) under Doru luteipes. Its description in RNAcentral is "tRNA-Glu". Lineage: Eukaryota; Metazoa; Arthropoda; Insecta; Dermaptera; Forficulidae. The record is from RNAcentral.